UGGCGAACGGGUGAGUAACACGUGGGCAACCUGCCCAAAAGAGGGGGAUAACACUUGGAAACAGGUGCUAAUACCGCAUAACCAUAGUUACCGCAUGGUAACUAUGUAAAAGGUGGCUAUGCUACCGCUUUUGGAUGGGCCCGCGACGCAUUAGCUAGUUGGUGGGGUAAAGGCUUACCAAGGCAAUGAUGCGUAGCCGAACUGAGAGGUUGAUCGGCCACAUCGGGACUGAGACACGGCCCAAACUCCUACGGGAGGCAGCAG
This 264-nucleotide ribosomal RNA is filed under the name uncultured bacterium. RNAcentral describes it as "partial 16S ribosomal RNA". It matches the Rfam family "Bacterial small subunit ribosomal RNA", at positions 96 to 354 of the family's 1533-position model. The record is from RNAcentral.